AGCAGUCGCCGCGGUAAUACGUAGGUGGCAAGCGUUGUCCGGAAUUAUUGGGCGUAAAGGGAGCGCAGGCGGACAUAUAAGUCCAUCUUAAAAGUGCGGGGCUCAACCCCGUGAGGGGAUGGAAACUGUAUGCCUUGAGUGCAGGAGAGGAAAGCGGAAUUCCCAGUGUAGCGGUGAAAUGCGUAGAUAUUGGGAGGAACACCAGUGGCGAAGGCGGCUUUCUGGACUGUAACUGACGCUGAGGCUCGAAAGCCAGGGGAGCGAACGGGAUUAGAUACCCCUGUAGUCCCUGUCUCUUAUACA
RNAcentral lists this ribosomal RNA (303 nucleotides) under uncultured bacterium. RNAcentral describes it as "partial 16S ribosomal RNA". It matches the Rfam family "Bacterial small subunit ribosomal RNA", at positions 507 to 809 of the family's 1533-position model. The record is from RNAcentral.